RNAcentral lists this ribosomal RNA (763 nucleotides) under uncultured Streptococcus sp. Its description in RNAcentral is "bacterial SSU rRNA". It matches the Rfam family "Bacterial small subunit ribosomal RNA", at positions 28 to 776 of the family's 1533-position model. The record is from RNAcentral. Lineage: Bacteria; Bacillati; Bacillota; Bacilli; Lactobacillales; Streptococcaceae.
GACGAACGCAGGCGGCGUGCCUAAUACAUGCAAGUAGAACGCUGAAGAGAGGAGCUUGCUCUUCUGGUGAGUUGCGAACGGGUGAGUAACGCGUAGGUAACCUGCCUUGUAGCGGGGGAUAACUAUUGGAAACGAUAGCUAAUACCGCAUAACAAUGGGUGACACAUGUCAUUUAUUUGAAAGGGGCAAUUGCUCCACUACAAGAUGGACCUGCGUUGUAUUAGCUAGUAGGUGAGGUAACGGCUCACCUAGGCGACGAUACAUAGCCGACCUGAGAGGGUGAUCGGCCACACUGGGACUGAGACACGGCCCAGACUCCUACGGGAGGCAGCAGUAGGGAAUCUUCGGCAAUGGGGGCAACCCUGACCGAGCAACGCCGCGUGAGUGAAGAAGGUUUUCGGAUCGUAAAGCUCUGUUGUAAGUCAAGAACGAGUGUGAGAGUGGAAAGUUCACACUGUGACGGUAGCUUACCAGAAAGGGACGGCUAACUACGUGCCAGCAGCCGCGGUAAUACGUAGGUCCCGAGCGUUGUCCGGAUUUAUUGGGCGUAAAGCGAGCGCAGGCGGUUUGAUAAGUCUGAAGUUAAAGGCUGCGGCUCAACCAUAGUUCGCUUUGGAAACUGUCAAACUUGAGUGCAGAAGGGGAGAGUGGAAUUCCAUGUGUAGCGGUGAAAUGCGUAGAUAUAUGGAGGAACACCGGUGGCGAAAGCGGCUCUCUGGUCUGUAACUGACGCUGAGGCUCGAAAGCGUGGGGAGCGAACAGG